AGAGUUCGAUCCUGGCUCAGGACGAACGCUGGCGGCGCGCCUAACACAUGCAAGUCGAACGGAGUUAUCUCAGCAGAAGCUUUCGGGUGGACGCAGGGAUAACUUAGUGGCGAACGGGUGAGUAACACGUGAGGAACCUGCCCUGGAGUGGGGGACAACAGUUGGAAACGACUGCUAAUACCGCAUAAGCCCACAGCACCGCAUGGUGCAGAGGGAAAAGGAGCAAUUCGCUUCAGGAUGGCCUCGCGUCCAAUUAGGUAGAUGGUGAGGUAACGGCCCACCAUGCCGACGAUUGGUAGCCGGACUGAGAGGUUGAACGGCCACAUUGGGACUGAGACACGGCCCAG
Molecule: ribosomal RNA, 347 nt
Filed under: uncultured bacterium
Lineage: Bacteria
Description: bacterial SSU rRNA
Rfam family: Bacterial small subunit ribosomal RNA
Source: RNAcentral